UACGUAGGGGGCAAGCGUUGUCCGGAAUCAUUGGGCGUAAAGCGCGCGUAGGCGGCCCGGUCAGUCCGCUGUGAAAGUCAGGGGCUCAACCCUUGAAAGCCGGUGGAUACUGCCGGGCUGGAGUCCGGAAGAGGCGAGUGGAAUUCCUGGUGUAGCGGUGGAAUGCGCAGAUAUCAGGAGGAACACCAAUAGCGAAGGCAGCUCGCUGGGACGGUACUGACGCUAAGGCGCGAAAGCGUGGGGAGCGAACAGG
RNAcentral lists this ribosomal RNA (253 nucleotides) under uncultured bacterium. RNAcentral's name for it is "partial 16S ribosomal RNA". It matches the Rfam family "Bacterial small subunit ribosomal RNA", at positions 524 to 776 of the family's 1533-position model. The record is from RNAcentral.